UACGGGGGGAGCAAGCGUUGUUCGGAUUUACUGGGCGUAAAGGGCGCGUAGGCGGCCAGCACAAGUCAGUUGUGAAAUCUCCGAGCUUAACUCGGAAAGGUCAACUGAUACUGUGCGGCUAGAGUGCGGAAGGGGCAACUGGAAUUCUUGGUGUAGCGGUGAAAUGCGUAGAUAUCGGGAGGAACACCAGUGGCGAAGGCGACUUCCUGGCCUGUUCUUGACGCUGAGGCGCGAAAGCUAGGGUAGCAAACGGG
Molecule: ribosomal RNA, 254 nt
Filed under: uncultured bacterium
Lineage: Bacteria
Description: partial 16S ribosomal RNA
Rfam family: Bacterial small subunit ribosomal RNA
Source: RNAcentral